Molecule: transfer RNA, 83 nt
Filed under: Clostridiaceae bacterium
Lineage: Bacteria; Bacillati; Bacillota; Clostridia; Eubacteriales; Clostridiaceae
Also listed under: 3 other names
Description: tRNA-Leu
Rfam family: tRNA
About the family: Transfer RNA (tRNA) molecules are approximately 80 nucleotides in length. Their secondary structure includes four short double-helical elements and three loops (D, anti-codon, and T loops).
Source: RNAcentral
GCGGCCGUGGCGGAACUGGCAGACGCGCACGUUUGAGGGGCGUGUGAGAGAUCAUACGGGUUCAAGUCCCGUCGGCCGCACCA